Molecule: long non-coding RNA, 679 nt
Filed under: Vitis vinifera (wine grape)
Lineage: Eukaryota; Viridiplantae; Streptophyta; Magnoliopsida; Vitales; Vitaceae
Description: long non-coding RNA (VVIN_LNC002818)
Source: RNAcentral
AACGCCACCGGCAACCACUACUACAUCUGCACUAUUGGCCGGCACUGCACCUCUGGUCAGAAGCUAGCCAUUACUGUCUCAGCCAAUCCCGGCUCGAAUCCCCCUUCUGCAUCUCCAGCAUCCCCACCGCCAACCACCAUUGCCACACCUUCUCCGACUGCUACUCCUGAUGAUCGCACUCCCACUCCAUCACCGAGUCUCAUGACCGACGCCCCUCAUGCUGCAACUCCAACUCAAACUCCGGCAGCCCCACCACCAACAGCCACUAUACCACCUCCAGGGGCACCUUCUCCGACUGCCACUCCUGAUGAUUGCGCUCCCACUCCAUCACCUAGUCUCAUGACCGACGCACCUCCUGAUGCAACUCCAACUCAAACUCCGGCAGCCCCAUCUCCAACAGCCACUAAACUACCCCCAAGGACACCUUCUCCGACUGCUACUCCUGAUGAUUGCGCUCCCACUCCGUCACCGAGUCUCAUGACCGACGCACCUCCUGCUGCAACCCCAACUCAAACUCCGGCAGCCCCACCACCAACAGCCACUAAACCACCUCCAGGGACACCUUCUCCCACUGGUAAUCCUGAUGAUUGUGCUCCCACACCAUCACCCAAUCCCAUGACUGGUUCACCAGCUCCUGCAACCCAUCUCUAGAUGCUUCCCUUUGCCUCCUUGGUGUCCG